Molecule: ribosomal RNA, 253 nt
Filed under: uncultured bacterium
Lineage: Bacteria
Description: partial 16S ribosomal RNA
Rfam family: Bacterial small subunit ribosomal RNA
Source: RNAcentral
GACGUAGGGCGCGAGCGUUGUCCGGAUUUAUUGGGCGUAAAGAGCUCGUAGGCGGCUUGUCGCGUCGUCCGUGAAAACUUGGGACUCAACCCCAAGCUUGCGGUCGAUACGGGCAGGCUGGAGUUCGGUAGGGGAGAAUGGAAUUCCCGGUGUAGCGGUGAAAUGCGCAGAUAUCGGGAAGAACACCCGUGGCGAAGGCGGUUCUCUGGGACGGUACUGACGCUGAGACGCGAAAGCGUGGGGAGCGAACAGG